Long non-coding RNA from Melopsittacus undulatus (budgerigar), 1674 nucleotides. RefSeq lists it as uncharacterized. The transcript is spliced from 4 exons. Lineage: Eukaryota; Metazoa; Chordata; Aves; Psittaciformes; Psittaculidae. The record is from RefSeq and is a predicted model, not a curated record.
GGAGGACACGGGAUGGGAUAGGGCUUUUCCCCGGCAGCGGCAGCCAGAGCAUCCCUGAGCUGGACCACUCAGGCCGGACCCGCUGGGUAGGAGUUUGCUGGCGCCGGGAUAAAUCGCGACAGUGAGAACAGAUCCAAGAGAAAGGGGACCUUGAAGCUCCUCCACUUCCAACCCCCUGCCAUGGGUCCGGGCAGGUGGGAACUGCGUCACAUUUAUGUUGCCCGAUGAGGACCACAUGCUUGGCAAUGCUCUCCGAUAUGUGGUCAUGAAGAAGUAAGUGGAGUCUCCACAACACCUGAUACAACUGGGGGUUCCUCUGUCUCCUAUUCUGCCCAUCCCGUCACUACGUUGCACCUCAGUUGCUGCUGGAAAAAGGCAAAACUGCCUCUAUGCAUGCCUGUUGGAGUAUUUAUAUCAGAGCUGGUGCCAGAGGCUCCUUACCUACCCCCUCUCUUAAGAGGAUUAACUUUCUCCGUUAGCCCCGAGAGCACUAAUAGGCCUUGAUGAGUCUGAGCAGCCUCACCUGGGGCCCCUACAGAUAGGCUCAGGAGCCCCAUUUAAGCUUAGCUCAGGGCUUUCAGUCCUUCCUGAGCUAUGUUGUAUGAAUAUGGGUCUUCAGCUUAGCCUGUACUGGGCUGUUGGAUGCUGACCCAUGGACUGACUUCCUGACUCAACAUCAGCCUCUCCUCAUUGUUGUACAUUGUACAUCUGCUUGGUGGUCAUAGGUUUUGUCUGACCCUCAUUACCUUCAGCUGACCUGCAGGUUGUCUUCUUGGCCUGGCCUCAGACCUAUUUCACCCCCACAAACCUGCCUGGUGACCUGGACCCUUGGCUGGCCCUCGCUACCACCUUUGCACCCACCUUACUCCCUUGCUUGGAUGCUGUGGGACAGGGCUGGCCAGUGAGUUCUCUGCCCUAUUGGCUGGCUUACAGUUCAUGCUUCCAGCUCCCCAUCCCUUAAGGAACAGCGAACCCUACUGUGCUUAUGUUUAGUUACAGAGGAAAUUGAAUGGCAGACAUGUGACAGACUUCUGAAUGUUUUACAUGGCUCUGGGUAAAAUGAUGUGCAACUCUGCAAGUACAGGUGGUCGGGCAGUAUCUGUGUCACUUCUGGGGCAAGUGCUGUCAGAAAAGAGUAGGAACAGCCAAUAUUAAGCAAAUUGAUCAUCUUUGAUACUUCCAUCAAGAUGCAGGAAUUGAUGCUGGAAAUUAAUAAUCCUACUGCCCCCAUUAAAAUAUACAAAUGGCUUCACUCUGAUUUUAUCGAGCUGGGAGGCACUGGGAGUUUGUGAAGACUCACUGGUAAGGCUCAGAAGAAUUCCAGCAGGAAGUUCAAUUCAUCAUCUCAAAUGACAGCUGCAUUGCAAAUGUCAUGUGAAUUCCUCUGAUAGAUCACCAUGACAAGAAAAAGAGCCGCCUUCUUGUGAGGGGCUGUGCUUUCUGCUGUGUGCACAAAUGUGCUACCAACCAUCUCGGCUUGUGAAGACAGAUGUUGUGCAGUCUGCAAACGUUUUGUGGUGCCCUAGACCCAUCUGCCUCCUCUGCCCAGCAGAACUGCAACAGAGGAGCAUGAAGGAGUACAGGGCCCAGAGGGAGGAAGAGAUCCAGUAGCAUUUAGGGAUGGCAGUCUCCAUGGACAUGUGUAAGCCUGGGAACAACACUGAUAACACGGAU